Molecule: ribosomal RNA, 238 nt
Filed under: uncultured bacterium
Lineage: Bacteria
Description: partial 16S ribosomal RNA
Rfam family: Bacterial small subunit ribosomal RNA
Source: RNAcentral
AGAGUGGCGAACGGGUGAGUAACACGUAGGUGACCUGCCUCGAAGACGGGGAUAACCACUGGAAACGGUGGCUAAUACCCGAUGGUCUUGACGAUUCGGUUCGUUGAGUAAAGCUCCGGCGCUUCAAGAGGGACCUGCGGCCCAUCAGCUAGUUGGUAGGGUAAUGGCCUACCAAGGCGAAGACGGGUAGGGGGCGUGAGAGCGCGGCCCCCCACACUGGCACUGAGACACGGCCCAG